AUAUGGUAGGAGAGCGUUCUGUAAGCCUGCGAAGGUGUCUUGUAAAGGAUGCUGGAGGUAUCAGAAGUGCGAAUGCUGACAUGAGUAGCGAUAAUGGGGGUGAAAAGCCUCCACGCCGUAAGCCCAAGGUUUCCUGUUCAACGUUCAUCGGAGCAGGGUGAGUCGGCCCCUAAGGCGAGGCAGAGAUGCGUAGCUGAUGGGAAGCAGGUUAAUAUUCCUGCACCGUCGUAUGAUGCGAUGGGGGGACGGAUCGCGGAAGGUUGUCUGACUGUUGGAAUAGUCAGUUUCUGUCUCAUAGAAGGCGCUUAGGCAAAUCCGGGCGCGCAAUUCAAGGGGAUGGGACGAGUGAACUUGUUCACGAAGCAAUCGGAAGUGGUUCCAAGAAAAGCCUCUAAGCUUCAGUCAUACGAGACCGUACCGCAAACCGACACAGGUGGGCGAGAUGAGUAUUCUAAGGCGCUUGAGAGAACUCGGGAGAAGGAACUCGGCAAAUUGGUACCGUAACUUCGGGAAAAGGUACGCCCCGGUAGCUUGAUUGGUUUACUCCAUGAGGGUGAAAGGGUUGCAAUAAACUGGUGGCUGCGACUGUUUAAUAAAAACACAGCACUCUGCAAACACGAAAGUGGACGUAUAGGGUGUGACGCCUGCCCGGUGCUGGAAGAUUAAAUGAUGGGGUGCAAGCUCUUGAUUGAAGUCCCAGUAAACGGCGGCCGUAACUAUAACGGUCCUAAGGUAGCGAAAUUCCUUGUCGGGUAAGUUCCGACCUGCACGAAUGGCGUAACGAUGGCCACACUGUCUCCUCCCGAGACUCAGCGAAGUUGAAAUGUUUGUGAUGAUGCAAUCUACCCGCGGCUAGACGGAAAGACCCCAUGAACCUUUACUGUAGCUUUGCAUUGGACUUUGAACCAAUCUGUGUAGGAUAGGUGGGAGGCUUUGAAGCGGGGACGCUAGUUCUCGUGGAGCCAACCUUGAAAUACCACCCUGGUUUGUUUGAGGUUCUAACCUUGGUCCGUUAUCCGGAUCGGGGACAGUGCAUGGUAGGCAGUUUGACUGGGGCGGUCUCCUCCUAAAGUGUAACGGAGGAGUUCGAAGGUACGCUAGAUACGGUCGGACAUCGUGUUGAUAGUGCAAUGGCAUAAGCGUGCUUAACUGCGAGACUGACAAGUCGAGCAGGUACGAAAGUAGGACAUAGUGAUCCGGUGGUUCUGUAUGGAAGGGCCAUCGCUCAACGGAUAAAAGGUACUCUGGGGAUAACAGGCUGAUUCCUCCCAAGAGUUCAUAUCGACGGGGGAGUUUGGCACCUCGAUGUCGGCUCAUCACAUCCUGGGGCUGUAGCCGGUCCCAAGGGUAUGGCUGUUCGCCAUUUAAAGUGGUACGUGAGCUGGGUUUAAAACGUCGUGAGACAGUUUGGUCCCUAUCUGCCGUGGGCGUUGGAAAUUUGAAGGGGGCUGCUCCUAGUACGAGAGGACCGGAGUGGACGAACCUCUGGUGUACCGGUUGUCACGCCAGUGGCAUUGCCGGGUAGCUAAGUUCGGAAGAGAUAACCGCUGAAAGCAUCUAAGCGGGAAACUUGCCUUGAGAUGAGAUUUCCCAGAGCCUUGAGCUCUUUGAAGGGUCGUUCGAGACCAGGACGUUGAUAGGCUGGGUGUGGAAGUGCAGUAAUGCAUUAAGCUAACCAGUACUAAUUGCCCGUACGGCUUGUCCCU
Molecule: ribosomal RNA, 1706 nt
Filed under: Janthinobacterium sp. HH107
Lineage: Bacteria; Pseudomonadati; Pseudomonadota; Betaproteobacteria; Burkholderiales; Oxalobacteraceae
Description: bacterial LSU rRNA
Rfam family: Bacterial large subunit ribosomal RNA
Source: RNAcentral